This 812-nucleotide ribosomal RNA is filed under the name bacterium G6-8. RNAcentral's name for it is "bacterial SSU rRNA". It matches the Rfam family "Bacterial small subunit ribosomal RNA", at positions 70 to 866 of the family's 1533-position model. The record is from RNAcentral.
ACUGAUAAUGCUGUCUGCCACCUUGUACGAUUUACGCGUGAACGGGUAGUAUGUAACACGUAAGGAAUCUACCUAUAAGCGGGGGAUAACAUUCGGAAACGGGUGCUAAUACCGCAUAAUAUCUUCUUCCGCAUGGAAGAAGAUUGAAAGACGGCUCUGCUGUCACUUAUAGGAUGACCUUGCGGUGCAUUAGUUAGUUGGUGGGGUAACGGCCUACCAAGACGAUGAUGCAUAGCCGACCUGAGAGGGUGAUCGGCCACAUUGGGACUGAGACACGGCCCAAACUCCUACGGGAGGCAGCAGUAGGGAAUCUUCCGCAAUGGGCGAAAGCCUGACGGAGCAAUGCCGCGUGAGUGAAGAAGGCCUUCGGGUCGUAAAACUCUGUUAUAAGAGAAGAACAAAUUGUAGAGUAACUGCUACAGUCUUGACGGUAUCUUAUCAGAAAGCCACGGCUAACUACGUGCCAGCAGCCGCGGUAAUACGUAGGUGGCAAGCGUUGUCCGGAUUUAUUUGGGCGUAAAGGGAGCGCAGGUGGUUUCUUAAGUCUGAUGUGAAAGCCCACGGCUUAACCGUGGAGGGUCAUUGGAAACUGGGAAACUUGAGUACAGAAGAGGAAUGUUGGAACUCCCUGUGUAGCGGUGGAAUGCGUAAUUUUGGAAAACACCAGUGGGAAGGCACUUCUGUCUGUUACUGACACUGAGCUCAAGGUGGGACAAGAUUAAACCCUGGUUUCCAGCAAAAAUUGUUGGUUGGGUUCCCUCGCCCUAUACCUCGGGAACCGGUUAUAAAUUGGCUUGGGGUUUUAUGCAACC